AUUCCUGACCAGGGCUCGAGGGAAUCAGCAUGUUAUACCGGGAGCAGAGGGUGCACUGCUUGGGCUGUCAGCAUUGCUUGGCUGGAUCUCCAGACCAGGAAAGCAGCAACAUGGACUAUUUGUGAUUGCCUCUUCUUCUGGGCUUAUUCCUGAAUUCUGAGGAGAAAGAAAGGCACAUAACACGUCAGGUGGGUGUUCUGCUCGUUUGCCGUGUUUGAGCUCUCAAGUGUUGACCUGGUGCCAAUGGUGGAUGUUCUCCUGUCUGCAGGAGCCCUACAAGUCACCUUCCAUGAUUCUCUUGGACCGGUGAAAACAAAGUUUUUUGGAAAAAAAAAAAAAAAAAAGAACUCAUGAGUUGAACUCAGUAUUUAAGAGAAAAAAAUUGCAUACUGAACAAAGUUGCAGCCUGCAACUGGUUUCCAUACAAAGGGUGAGGUGUCUCCAGUGAUCCAUCCAAGUGUGAAGCUUUGCCUUCUUUUUUAUGCUACAUGACUGAUGUUGACAUUUCCAUAAGAAAACUUAUUUGGUUUUUUGUUUUGUUUUGUUUCAAAGUUUCUUUGCUUUUAAGAUGAGCUUUGCUUUUACAAAUGACUCCAAUCCUGAACAAGAAGGGGGAAAGUGCUGCUUUUCAAGGGUUUAAUGACUUGGAGAGAGAGUGAAGCAACUUUGUUUCAAGCCAAAUCAAAGACCUGAGCUGACCCCUCAAAAACUGGGGGGACCUAUUCAGGUCUAUCAAGAUUCAGGAGUGACUGCAAAAGGCAUCUUCAUUCCUUGUCUAAGGGAAAGGUUGAAAAUGAAGCGUGGCCCCUCUGCAGGGAAAUCAUGGGUAGAGUUGAGGAGAAUGGGAGUGGAAAUCUCUUUUAUGCAAGUAUUUGGAUCACCUCUCCUGCCCAUGUCCAGCCAUAGCAGCAAACAUGAGGCCAAUGGCUUGAGCUUCAAGUUCAGCAUGUGGCUGGGGCACGGGAUGAAUUAUAUCCUGCACCAGGUGGUCCUCAGAGCAUGUCUGAGACUGGUUGAUGGCUCUCUGCCAUGGGGUCAUGGGGUGGCUCUUGCAAGCUGCCCAGAGAUCCUAUCAGGUUGAAAUGUGUGAGUCUGGGGACACGGUCCCAGUGGCAUCGCUCAGGAGCACACCAGAAUGUUCUUCCUGCAGGCCUUGUAGAUACUGCUGAGAAAUGAGAGCACACAUUGCAUCAAGAAAUCCUCAUAUUGAGAAAUUCAUUUCACAUAUUGAGGAAUUCAUCCCUCAGCCGUCAUACAGAACAACUCCGCCACGACAGCUUAUGCAUGAGACAUGUUUACAGCUUCCGUAAACCAUUUUCAGAGCCACAGAACAAGUUAUUUUGGGAUGCUCUGUGCUGAAGGCGACUUCUCCAUGGUGACAAUUUCGUGUGCCUGCUCUGCUCUGUGAUUCUGGCUUUGAAAUAAUGCUGGCUUUCAGACGCAGGCCCCAUGUCUGUACGUGUAGGGUGAUGGCUUGGUACUCUCCUCAUCAUGCUGUCAAUAGAUGCACUUCUUGAGCAGUCCCCACCCUAAAGCCACCAUUUUGUGUGGCACCAAUGUCAGCCUUCCUUAACCCAUCCCACUCAACCCUCUGGAAGAACACCAGGUUUUGCUAACAAGCCAAGCUUCUAGGUCCCUCAGCCUCCUGAACCAACAGGACUGGGUCAGAGAUAUCUCUGGGACAGCAGGACAGCUUCUGACCCUUGGACUAUGGGGAUUUGAUGCCCAGCAGUGACUUGAGCUUGGCACAAGUCGACCCAAGGCUCCUGGGCUUACCCACAGCUUCUCCCACUAGAGGCCACUGAAAGCCAGUGCCCUCAGGCCAUGCUGACGGCAGCUCAGGUGUCAAGCCCCUCAGAUGGAACAUUGGCUGUGGCCCAGUCUUGGGCCACAAGCUCCAGAAGGAAGAGAUGCCUUUGCAGUGCUGUCCCAAGUAAGCACAUUCUGCUCCCGUCCCCUUCCAGAUUCCACUUAUGGCUUCAACACUUCUGCAUUCCCAAUGAGGAGCUGUGACGUGACUCUGCAAGCGUCUGCACUGCCAUCUGCCAAGCAAGGUGCUAACGAGCGUGACUAACGGGAUCCAGAGCUGGCCUAGGGAUUGCAAAGUCUCUGUAUUUGACUAAAAAAGGUAUCUUGCUUUUUAUUAAAGCCAC
Molecule: long non-coding RNA, 2153 nt
Organism: Gallus gallus (chicken)
Lineage: Eukaryota; Metazoa; Chordata; Aves; Galliformes; Phasianidae
Source: Ensembl